Molecule: ribosomal RNA, 275 nt
Filed under: uncultured bacterium
Lineage: Bacteria
Description: partial 16S ribosomal RNA
Rfam family: Bacterial small subunit ribosomal RNA
Source: RNAcentral
UACGUAGGGCGCAAGCGUUGUCCGGAAUUAUUGGGCGUAAAGAGCUCGUAGGCGGUUUUGUCGCGUCUGCUGUGAAAAGCCCCGGGGCUCAACCCCGGGUCUGCAGUGGGUACGGGCAGACUAGAGUGCAGUAGGGGGAGACUGGAAUUCCUGGUGUAGCGGUGAAAUGCGCAGAUAUCAGGAGGAACACCGAUGGCGAAGGCAGGUCUCUGGGCUGUUACUGACGCUGAGGAGCGAAAAGCAUGGGGGAGCGAACAGGAUUAGAUACCCGUGUC